RNAcentral lists this ribosomal RNA (377 nucleotides) under uncultured bacterium. RNAcentral's name for it is "partial 16S ribosomal RNA". It matches the Rfam family "Bacterial small subunit ribosomal RNA", at positions 338 to 732 of the family's 1533-position model. The record is from RNAcentral.
CCUACGGGAGGCAGCAGUGGGGAAUAUUGGACAAUGGGGGGAACCCUGAUCCAGCGACGCCGCGUGAGUGAAGAAGUAUUUCGGUAUGUAAAGCUCUAUCAGCAGGGAAGAAAAUGACGGUACCUGACUAAGAAGCCCCGGCUAACUACGUGCCAGCAGCCGGGGGAAUACGUAGGGGGCAAGCGUUAUCCGGAUUUAAUGGGUGUAAAGGGGGCGUAGGCGGUGCAGCAAGUCUGAUGGGAAAGGUUGGGGCCCAACCCCGGGACUGCAUUGGAAACUGUUGGACUGGAGUACAGGAGAGGUAAGCGGAAUUCGUAGUGUAGCGGUGAAAUGCGUAGAUAUUAGGAAGAACACCAGUGGCGAAGGCGGCUUACUGG